GCAUAUCAAUAAGCGGAGGAAAAGAAACUAACAAGGAUUCCCCUAGUAACGGCGAGUGAAGCGGGAAGAGCUCAAAUUUAAAAUCUGGCAGUGUAUUCUGUCCGAGUUGUAGUCUAGAGAAGCAUCAUCCGUGCUGGACCGUGUACAAGUCUCCUG
Molecule: ribosomal RNA, 156 nt
Filed under: Rhizoctonia solani
Lineage: Eukaryota; Fungi; Basidiomycota; Agaricomycetes; Cantharellales; Ceratobasidiaceae
Description: partial 28S ribosomal RNA
Rfam family: Eukaryotic large subunit ribosomal RNA
Source: RNAcentral